CCUACGGGUGGCAGCAGUGAGGAAUAUUGGUCAAUGGGCGGGAGCCUGAACCAGCCAAGCCGCGUGAGGGAAGAAGGUACAGCGUAUCGUAAACCUCUUUUAUAAGGGAAUAAAGUGUGGGACGUGUCCUAUUUUGUAUGUACCUUAUGAAUAAGGAUCGGCUAACUCCGUGCCAGCAGCCGCGGUAAUACGGAGGAUCCGAGCGUUAUCCGGAUUUAUUGGGUUUAAAGGGUGCGUAGGCGGCCUUUUAAGUCAGCGGUGAAAGUCUGUGGCUCAACCAUAGAAUUGCCGUUGAAACUGGGGGGCUUGAGUAUGUUUGAGGCAGGCGGAAUGCGUGGUGUAGCGGUGAAAUGCUUAGAUAUCACGCAGAACCCCGAUUGCGAAGGCAGCCUGCCAAGCCAUGACUGACGCUGAUGCACGAAAGCGUGGGGAUCAAACAGGAUUAGAUACCCGGGUAGUC
RNAcentral lists this ribosomal RNA (460 nucleotides) under uncultured bacterium. Its description in RNAcentral is "partial 16S ribosomal RNA". It matches the Rfam family "Bacterial small subunit ribosomal RNA", at positions 338 to 795 of the family's 1533-position model. The record is from RNAcentral.